Molecule: ribosomal RNA, 460 nt
Filed under: uncultured bacterium
Lineage: Bacteria
Description: partial 16S ribosomal RNA
Rfam family: Bacterial small subunit ribosomal RNA
Source: RNAcentral
CCUACGGGUGUCAGCAGUGAGGAAUAUUGGUCAAUGGGCGUAAGCCUGAACCAGCCAAGUCGCGUGAAGGAUGAAGGUUCUAUGGAUCGUAAACCUCUUUUAUAAGGGAAUCAAGUGCGGGACGUGUCCCGUUUUGUAUGUACCUUAUGAAUAAGGAUCGGCUAACUCCGUGCCAGCAGCCGCGGUAAUACGGAGGCUCCGAGCGUUAUCCGGAUUUAUUGGGUUUAAAGGGUGCGUAGGCGGCCUUUUAAGUCAGCUGUGAAAGUCUGUGGCUCAACCAUAGAAUUGCCGUUGAAACUGGGAGGCUUGAGUAUGGUUGAGGCAGGCGGAAUGCGUGGUGUAGCGGUGAAAUGCUUAGAUAUCACGCAGAACCCCGAUUGCGAAGGCAGCUGUCCAGGCCAUGACUGACGCUGAGGCUCGAAAGUGUGGGGAUCAAACAGGAUUAGAUACCCGGGUAGUC